This 76-nucleotide transfer RNA is filed under the name Orenia metallireducens. RNAcentral describes it as "tRNA-Ala". It matches the Rfam family "tRNA". From Rfam's summary of the family: Transfer RNA (tRNA) molecules are approximately 80 nucleotides in length. Lineage: Bacteria; Bacillati; Bacillota; Clostridia; Halanaerobiales; Halobacteroidaceae. The record is from RNAcentral.
GGGGAUAUAGCUCAGUUGGGAGAGCGCUACACUGGCAGUGUAGAGGUCACCGGUUCGAGCCCGGUUAUCUCCACCA